Non-coding RNA from Salmo salar (Atlantic salmon), 628 nucleotides. Lineage: Eukaryota; Metazoa; Chordata; Actinopteri; Salmoniformes; Salmonidae. The record is from RefSeq and is a predicted model, not a curated record.
UAUGUCGAGACACCCGCCUGUGGUUUUUGGGUCUCUAGACAUUCGGGGUUACUUUAUAUGACCAUUUUUGCAUACAGGAUGUCGCCCGAAAAAACGGAAACCCCGCUCUGUAAACUCAUUACAGAAUAUUUCUCGUUAGAGACACGACCUCGGAGCGAGGCUAGGGAAACAGAUACUAGCCAUUCUGUACGACAGACUAAAGCGCAACUCCAGACAUCAGGCCAACAGCCCCGAAGAGUUAUCAGCCCAGAACAGCUAAAACAUCAUCUGUGAAUCCGUCCUAAUGGAGCUUUCUGAAGUCCUUUACACAGCUGCUCCGGGGAAUAGAUGAUUGGGAACAGCCUUCGUUAGAGUGGGUUUCAGUGGAGCAAAACGCGUGCAGCCAGUCCCCAUCACACUAUUGUCGACCUGACAGACAAACAAAAAAGGAUCACGGAUGCUUCAAGUACUCUGAAUGAUGACAUAGAUGCUAUUCUCCCGUUCUGUACGAACGGCUUUACCCUAACUCCCCCAGGAACCAAGCUCCAUAUUUCAGACCCAAACAAGUAACGCACAACUUGUGCGCAAGUGCCUUGCGCAGAAUCACCCCGGCCCGAAAAGUUACUGCUUCAAGAAACGGCGCUACAUG